AAUAUUUCACAAUGGAGGAAACUCUGAUGCAGCGACGCCGCGUGAGCGAUGAAGGUCUUCGGAUCGUAAAGCUCUGUCCUAAGGGACACUAGUGACGGUACCUUAGGAGGAAGCCCCGGCUAACUACGUGCCAGCAGCCGCGGUAACACGUAGGGGGCGAUCGUUGUCCGGAAUUACUGGGCGUAAAGGGUACGUAGGCGGCUAUAUAAGUCAGGUGUGAAAUACCAGUGCUUAACACUGGAAUUGCAUUUGAAACUGUGUAGCUUGAGUGCAGGAGAGGAAAGUGGAAUUCCUAGUGUAGCGGUGAAAUGCGUAGAGAUUAGGAGGAACACCAGUGGCGAAGGCGACUUUCUGGACUGUAACUGACGCUGAGGUACGAAAGCGUGGGUAGCGAACA
This 397-nucleotide ribosomal RNA is filed under the name uncultured bacterium. RNAcentral's name for it is "partial 16S ribosomal RNA". It matches the Rfam family "Bacterial small subunit ribosomal RNA", at positions 360 to 774 of the family's 1533-position model. The record is from RNAcentral.